GACGAACGCUGGCGGCGUGCUUAACACAUGCAAGUCGAACGGAAAGGCCCUGCUUGCAGGGUGCUCGAGUGGCGAACGGGUGAGUAACACGUGGGUGAUCUGCCCCUUACUUUGGGAUAAGCCUGGGAAACUGGGUCUAAUACUGGAUAGGACCAUGCUGUAGGUGGUGUGGUGGAAAGAUUAGUUUCGGUAAGGGAUGAGCUCGCGGCCUAUCAGCUUGUUGGUGGGGUAAUGGCCUACCAAGGCGUCGACGGGUAGCCGGCCUGAGAGGGUGGACGGCCACAUUGGGACUGAGAUACGGCCCAGCCUCCUACGCGAGGCAGCAGUGGGGAAUAUUGCACAAUGGGCGCAAGCCUGAUGCAGCGACGCCGCGUGGGGGGUGACGGCCUUCGGGUUGUAAACUCCUUUCAGCCAUGACGAAGCCCUUGUGGUGACGGUAGUGGUAGAAGAAGCACCGGCUAACUACGUG
RNAcentral lists this ribosomal RNA (469 nucleotides) under uncultured bacterium. Its description in RNAcentral is "partial 16S ribosomal RNA". It matches the Rfam family "Bacterial small subunit ribosomal RNA", at positions 28 to 507 of the family's 1533-position model. The record is from RNAcentral.